GAUGAACGCUGGCGGCGUGCCUAAUACAUGCAAGUCGAGCGAACGGACGAGAAGCUUGCUUCUCUGAUGUUAGCGGCGGACGGGUGAGUAACACGUGGAUAACCUACCUAUAAGACUGGGAUAACUUCGGAAAACCGGAGCUAAUACCGGAUAAUAUUUUGAACCGCAUGGUUCAAAAGUGAAAGACGGUUUUGCUGUCACUUAUAGAUGGAUCCGCGCUGCAUUAGCUAGUUGGUAAGGUAACGGCUUACCAAGGCAACGAUGCAUAGCCGACCUGAGAGGGUGAUCGGCCACACUGGAACUGAGACACGGUCCAGACUCCUACGGGAGGCAGCAGUAGGGAAUCUUCCGCAAUGGGCGAAAGCCUGACGGAGCAACGCCGCGUGAGUGAUGAAGGUCUUCGGAUCGUAAAACUCUGUUAUUAGGGAAGAACAUAUGUGUAAGUAACUGUGCACAUCUUGACGGUACCUAAUCAGAAAGCCACGGCUAGCUACGUG
RNAcentral lists this ribosomal RNA (497 nucleotides) under uncultured bacterium. RNAcentral describes it as "partial 16S ribosomal RNA". It matches the Rfam family "Bacterial small subunit ribosomal RNA", at positions 28 to 507 of the family's 1533-position model. The record is from RNAcentral.